CUAAUGAAAAAGUCUACUGUAAUACAGAUAUUGCUGGACUUCUUUGUUCGCUAUUGAGUUUUUACCUUCGACGAUUUUGCAGUGAAUAAGAUUGAUCGGUAAUCAAGAAAGAAAGAGAGAGAGAACACUGGAGUUCAUUGUGACCCUAUUAAAGAAGUCUACUGUGAUGCAAUUCUUCCUGGACUUUUACACGUUCUCUGUUGAUCUUCCACAUGGACGAUUUUGCAGUAAAUUAAGAUUGUCCCACAAAUGAGAAGGAAUUGCAGUUAAUUUUGAUGCUACUGAAACAACCGAUGCUUUUUGAUUGGAAGCGACUAGUAGAACAAUUUGUCUGCAGUGGUAUCCCUCCUAGUUUGGUUUACUCAUCACACUGGCAGACUUUAGAACGCCAUUUUCUACAAUUAAUUAAGGUGAGAAUACAUGACUUCAUUGAUAUUAAAUGCUCUUUAUUAAUCUGUUAUGAAAUUUCUGUUAACAAUUUACAUGUAUGUAUCUCUUGACAGUUUUUAUUUUCCACAGAAGAAAUUGACAUUUAUCAUUGAUCUAUGGAGUUUCGUUUUAAUCUUUUUCUAUUGUCUGCAUCGUAAAUUGUCGUCGUGAUCUAUGGUUGUAAUGUAAAAUGGCGUGAAAGUAACGCUUGUUAUUUUAUAAUUUAGCUAUUUUUACUUGCUUUUUGAUGCGUUUUUAUUUGUGUUUCUUAAUUAUAAG
Agrilus planipennis (emerald ash borer) is the source of this 708-nucleotide long non-coding RNA. RefSeq lists it as uncharacterized. The transcript is spliced from 3 exons. The record is from RefSeq and is a predicted model, not a curated record. Lineage: Eukaryota; Metazoa; Arthropoda; Insecta; Coleoptera; Buprestidae.